AAUUGAAGUAUUAUCACCUAAUCACCGUUGAAGCUUAUUCUCCCUCCUUUCAAGCAAAAGUAUUUCUGAAGGUAGUAAAUUGUAAAAGAUGACCUUUACCUGCCCUUUUGAAAAUGUAUAAUAGUGUUAAACACUAAUAUUGAUCAUUGGGAAGAUUUGCUUUCCAUACAAUCUAUAAAUCUAAAUAUUGAACAAAAUGAGCCAUUCUUUUCAUUUAAAUCCUGAGUUUCCUUUGGCUUAAAUUUUCUUGAAAAUCAAAGUAAGAAUUACUUAAAAAAAUUCUUGUUUUGUUCUUUUGGUUCUCUUUCCCCCAUAAGGCUUUUAAGAACUAAAACUUAUUUAAAUGCCAACCAUUUGAACAGAAGUGCAACAGGUCUGUUGUAUUGACCAUUGUUCACUCAGUGAAAGGCGCCCUGGACGGUAUGAUGCCAGUAUUUUAUGUAUCAAUAAGAGUUUUUUUAAACAAUGCUGCCAACUAUAGUUGUAAGACAUUCUGAAUUAAAAAUUGGAUUCCAAUGUUGGAGAUGUGAAAAAGUGAGAGAAUAAGCAUCUUAGAAUCAUUGAAAUACUCAGUAUUCUUUCUGAUCCUUAAAAGAUGCCUGCAAAGUAGGUAUAAUGAUACCACUUUACUUAAUUGAAAUGUUGUCUUUGUAAAGUCGUAGUAAUAGUAAUAGUGAUACUAAUAUUAUCUAACAAUUAUUGAGCAGUUUUUUGGUGCUAGGAACUGUUGGAAAUGCUUUGCAUAGAUUCUCAUUAAAGCAAACUGGUGUCCUGUGAGAUAACUACUAUUUUUAUCCCCAUUUUGUUGAUGAGGAAAUUGAGGCACAGAAAGGUCAAGUGAUAGCUAACAAGUGACGGUUAAAACAGGAUCAGACUCAAGCUGAGCUGAAUGCCCAGGUCACCCUCUGUUCAGACAGGCUGCUGCUUCAUUAAUGUGCAUAACAAGAACUAGUAAAUAUUGUACUGUCCCAGAAAAAAAAAGGUUUGUAUUGAAAGUGUAGGGACAAAUGUUUACAAUUACAUGAAUAACUGUGUAUAUUGAGAUAGUGCAUUCUAAGUUCCUAAAGAGUCCUCUCACUUUCAUAGGACUGCUCUACAUGUGGCCUGUGUCAAUGGCCAUCCCAAAGUGGUGACUCUCCUAACAGACAGACAAUGCCUGUUGGACCUCGGUGACGUUGAAAACAGGACGGCUCUGAUUCAGGCAUAAUAUUGACAGGCCAUACAAUGCCAGCAAGAAGAGUGUGCAGCUAUUCUGCUAGACCAUGGUGCUGAUCCAAAUAUAAUGGACAACCAUGGCUACACCGCCCUCCACUAUGCUGCCCUUGGUCCCAGUAAAGCUAUGGUGGAAAAGCUGCUUUUCCACGAUGCAGAUACUGAAGCAAGAAAUAAGCAAUCAACAACUAAGUUCUGAAUAUGGAGAAGAACGGCGAUCUGUAAAAUCUUCUGAAAGGAGCGAUCUUGAUUCAGCAUGAAAAGAAACAGGUAAUGAAGUGGGUUGAGUUAAAAUUCUCUCUGGAGUCUCGCCUGCGUGAAGGAUUGAAGAAGACGGGUGAACUGGAGAAAGAGCUCACUAGAUAAGGUGAAAUCAUCUCAAGAAAAUCUAGAGCAGUUAAGAAAGAAUUAUGAUGCUUCAUUAAGAAGAGAAUUGGAACUCAGAAUUAAAGAUCUGGAAUCUGAACUCUCUGAAAUGAAAACCUUUGAAAAAUAUGAGCAACUCUACCUGAGAGAAAACCAAUGUACAAAGUCAUUGUCAAAUCAACUAGUCAAGUAAGUCAGAACACAAAAUCAGAGAAAAUAAACUAACCUCAUUAAUUAGUUUCUAAAGCAUAAUUUUUAUCAAGCCAGGUUCAUAAGAUUAGUAGGAAUGGAAGUUAACCAAGUAGUAUAAUUUUGGAAAAUGAUGUUAGUAAAUGAACUUAUCUAGCAAAUGUUUGUCCAGGACAGUUUGCAUCUCUUCCUCACUUUUGGUUUUACAUGACUUUAUUUUUCCCCCCUUAAUAUUUUCCUAAGUUAACCUACAUGAUCUACUAGUCUUUAAGCUAAGUGUUUUUGAAGCUUUAUAAUUUAGACAGCGAUAUUUUUAUAAAGUUGCUUGUUGUCAUUACCCUAAAUAGAAAUAUUAACGAGUUUAACUAUUUUUAGAAAAUAGCUUAAACUGAAAGGGUUAAGUGCUGGGCACAUUCUGGCGCUUGGUAGAUUUACUUUCUUCAUUGUCGUUUGUUAUUAUCACUAGAGGGCGCCUUGAGACAAACUAUCCUUUAUAGUUUUUCUGCUCAGAGGCACGCAGGUUAAUGGGGAAAGAUUGACAGGGGAGAAGGGCCGUAUGAUUGACACAGUUGCUAAAA
Non-coding RNA from Miniopterus natalensis, 2345 nucleotides. The record is from RefSeq and is a predicted model, not a curated record. NCBI's taxonomy places the organism in Eukaryota, Metazoa, Chordata, Mammalia, Chiroptera, Miniopteridae.